RNAcentral lists this long non-coding RNA (244 nucleotides) under Lathyrus oleraceus (garden pea). RNAcentral's name for it is "Pisum sativum (pea) long non-coding RNA (PSAT_LNC033332)". Lineage: Eukaryota; Viridiplantae; Streptophyta; Magnoliopsida; Fabales; Fabaceae. The record is from RNAcentral.
UUGAACCCACGCUAGCAAGGUCCACAAGAGCGCUCAAAAUGAAAUAUCAGAAAGCGCAUCGCCGGGAUUCAAACACGCGCUCACAAGGAAAGAUGGAAUUCCAAAAUAAAUUAACAAUCACACACACAUAGGGAUCGAACGCGCGCCAUAAAGGACUAGAAGCGCUUGGCAAAACACAGCGCAUCACUUAUGAAGUGGCAAGCCACGCAGCAGUCUUCACACACGCAAGCGAAGUCAAACAAAC